CCUACGAGUGGCAGCAGUGAGGAAUAUUGGUCAAUGGCCGAGAGGCUUAACCAACCAAGUCGCGUGAGGGAAGACGGCCCUACGGGUUGUAAACCUCUUUUGUCGGGGAGCAAAGCGAACCACGUGUGGUUCAUUGAGCGUACCCGAAGAAAAAGCCUCGGCUAACUCCGUGCCAGCCGCCGCGGUAAUACGGAGGAUGCGAGCGUUCUCCGGAUUUAUUGGGUUUACAGGGUGCGCAGGCGGAGGUGCAAGUCAGCGGGAAAAUUGCGGGGCUCAACCCCGUACUGCCGUUGAAACUGCAUCCCUUGAGUGCGCGAGAAGUAUGCGGAAUGCGUGGUGUAGCGGUGAAAUGCAUAGAUAUCACGCAGAACUCCGAUUGCGAAGGCAGCAUACCGGCGCGCAACUGACGCUCAUGCACGAAAGCGUGGGUAUCGAACAGGAUUAGAUACCCCAGUAGUC
RNAcentral lists this ribosomal RNA (459 nucleotides) under uncultured bacterium. RNAcentral's name for it is "partial 16S ribosomal RNA". It matches the Rfam family "Bacterial small subunit ribosomal RNA", at positions 338 to 795 of the family's 1533-position model. The record is from RNAcentral.